RNAcentral lists this ribosomal RNA (379 nucleotides) under uncultured cyanobacterium. RNAcentral describes it as "bacterial SSU rRNA". It matches the Rfam family "Bacterial small subunit ribosomal RNA", at positions 376 to 770 of the family's 1533-position model. The record is from RNAcentral. Lineage: Bacteria; Bacillati; Cyanobacteriota.
GGCAACCCUGACGGAGCAACGCCGCGUGGGGGAGGAAGGUCUGUGGAUUGUAAACCCCUUUUCUCUGUGAAGAAGAUCUGACGGUAGCAGAGGAAUCAGCAUCGGCUAACUCCGUGCCAGCAGCCGCGGUAAGACGGAGGAUGCAAGCGUUAUCCGGAAUUAUUGGGCGUAAAGCGUCCGUAGGCGGUUCAUCAAGUCUGCCGUUAAAGACUACAGCUUAACUGUGGGCCGGCGGUGGAAACUGAGGAACUUGAGUAUGGUAGAGGUAGAGGGAAUUCCCAGUGUAGCGGUGAAAUGCGUAGAGAUUGGAAAGAACACCAGUGGCGAAGGCGCUCUACUGGACCGUAACUGACACUCAGGGACGAAAGCUAGGGUAGCG